AUUAGCUCAGUUGGUUAGAGCAUGGUGCUAAUAAUGCCACGGCCAUGGGUUUGAUCCCUGUAU
This 63-nucleotide transfer RNA is filed under the name Manacus vitellinus (golden-collared manakin). Lineage: Eukaryota; Metazoa; Chordata; Aves; Passeriformes; Pipridae. RNAcentral also lists the same sequence under 1 other name. The record is from Rfam by way of RNAcentral.